AUUGAACGCUGGCGGCAGGCCUAACACAUGCAAGUCGAGCGGAUGAAGGGAGCUUGCUCCUGGAUUCAGCGGCGGACGGGUGAGUAAUGCCUAGGAAUCUGCCUGGUAGUGGGGGAUAACGUCCGGAAACGGGCGCUAAUACCGCAUACGUCCUGAGGGAGAAAGUGGGGGAUCUUCGGACCUCACGCUAUCAGAUGAGCCUAGGUCGGAUUAGCUAGUUGGUGGGGUAAAGGCCUACCAAGGCGACGAUCCGUAACUGGUCUGAGAGGAUGAUCAGUCACACUGGAACUGAGACACGGUCCAGACUCCUACGGGAGGCAGCAGUGGGGAAUAUUGGACAAUGGGCGAAAGCCUGAUCCAGCCAUGCCGCGUGUGUGAAGAAGGUCUUCGGAUUGUAAAGCACUUAAAGUUGGGAGGAAGGGCAGUAAGUUAAUACCUUGCUGUUUUGACGUUACCAACAGAAUAAGCACCGGCUAACUUCGGG
This 484-nucleotide ribosomal RNA is filed under the name uncultured bacterium. Its description in RNAcentral is "partial 16S ribosomal RNA". It matches the Rfam family "Bacterial small subunit ribosomal RNA", at positions 30 to 507 of the family's 1533-position model. The record is from RNAcentral.